Long non-coding RNA from Solanum dulcamara, 975 nucleotides. RefSeq lists it as uncharacterized. NCBI's taxonomy places the organism in Eukaryota, Viridiplantae, Streptophyta, Magnoliopsida, Solanales, Solanaceae. The transcript is spliced from 2 exons. The record is from RefSeq and is a predicted model, not a curated record.
UCUAAUUUACCUUUCCUAUUAUUUCAGUACAAAUUGAACCUUUACCUGGACCAAACCUCGCAGACCCAUCCCACUGCCCUUUUCCCUAAACCUAAGAUCCUCUAUUCUCUCCUUCCCUGAUUCAACAACAAACAUACGCACAACUCCAAGCUCAACAACAAGAAGAACAAGCCCUAAAUUCCCAAAUUUACCCAUCAAUUUUCCUCUUUUCUCCCUCAAAUUCAUACUAUCAGCGUUCCUUGCACGAUACCCAGUACAAAUGAAGGUUCCAGGAGGUUUCCCAAUUGGUAUUAUCCAUCCAAUUCUCCUUUUUCUUUUUUACAAUUCCCAUUUGAAAUUCCUACGAAAUCGUGCGUUCCAGCCUUGCAACCUUAUCCGCUCAAUGAUUUUUGAAAGUUUCCCAAUUCCCACAUCGUUUCCCCCCUUCAAAUCGACCCAGAUGCUUCCCUAUAAUAAACCCCAUUUCAUUCACUGUUGGGGGAUGUUUUUUUGGAGGCUAGAAAAGAACACCCUCUUGUUUGGGAGUUCUUAAUUUUUCUAGAAAGUUUUUCUCUCCCUCGGUUGUCCUAGUUACAUUUUAGUGGUGGAAUGGUCUCCGAGAACUCGAGUUUCAGUUUGCUGCCCAGAACCAGGUCUCAAUCGGCUCCCCAUCUCUUGCAUAUUCGUCUUUUCGAGUCAACCUCCAUCAAGCUGUUUCAAAGGGAAGCUAAUAUCAUAGAGUGGCAGCAGCUCAGUAGAAGAAUAAUUGCAGUCCCAAAGGGAUGGAAAUUGAGAUUCUGGAUUUAAGAAUCCAAAUUGAUCACAGUAGCAGCGGGAAUCAAAAAUGGGCAAGAGACUGCCUUUUUCUAGCUAUUCAGUUCUCUACUUUACUUUAGUUCCUUUAUUUGUGAAUCUAUGAUAAUUGUGAUAAUUGUUACUAACUUUUUAUUAUUAAGUUAGAUGAAUCCUUGGGAGAUUCUAAUGGAUUUUUCGCUA